AAUUAAAGCUUUCGCUUACACCGAAACAUAUCUGUGAAAUUCUGAUCAUUUUGA
RNAcentral lists this transfer RNA (54 nucleotides) under Hyloxalus infraguttatus (Chimbo rocket frog). RNAcentral describes it as "tRNA-Val". The record is from RNAcentral. Lineage: Eukaryota; Metazoa; Chordata; Amphibia; Anura; Dendrobatidae.